AAUGAACGUUGGCGGCGUGGAUUAGGCAUGCAAGUCGAGCGCUCAUAGCAAUAUGGGAGCGGCGAACGGCGUAGUAAUAUGUAGGAACGUACCCUCGGGUCGGGGAUAGCCAUGGGAAACUGUGGGUAAUACCCGAUAAUCUCUGCGGAGCAAAGGUGUGAUUCCGCCUGAGGAGCGGCCUACACGAUAUUAGCUAGUUGGUAGGGUAAUGGCCUACCAAGGCUACGAUGUCUAGGGGGUGUGAGAGCAUGGCCCCCACGACCGGAACUGAGAUACUGUCCGGACACCUACGGGUGGCUGCAGUCGAGAAUCUUCCGCAAUGGACGAAAGUCUGACGGAGCGACGCCGCGUGCGGGAUGAAGGCCCUUGGGUUGUAAACCGCUGUCAGAGGGGAUGAAAUCUUCGGAGGUACUCCUCCGAAGUUGACAGAGCCUCAAAGGAAGCACGGGCUAAGUACGUGCCAGCAGCCGCGGUAAAGUCAC
This 482-nucleotide ribosomal RNA is filed under the name uncultured bacterium. RNAcentral's name for it is "bacterial SSU rRNA". It matches the Rfam family "Bacterial small subunit ribosomal RNA", at positions 29 to 526 of the family's 1533-position model. The record is from RNAcentral.